GACGAACGCUGGCGGCGUGCUUAACACAUGCAAGUCGAACGGAAAGGCCCUGCUUUUGUGGGGUGCUCGAGUGGCGAACGGGUGAGUAACACGUGAGUAACCUGCCCUUGACUUUGGGAUAACUUCAGGAAACUGGGGCUAAUACCGGAUAGGAGCUCCUGCUGCAUGGUGGGGGUUGGAAAGUUUCGGCGGUUGGGGAUGGACUCGCGGCUUAUCAGCUUGUUGGUGGGGUAGUGGCUUACCAAGGCUUUGACGGGUAGCCGGCCUGUGAGGGUGACCGGCCACAUUGGGACUGCGAUACGGCCCAGACUCCUACUGGAGGCAGCAGUGGGGAAUAUUGCACAAUGGGCGGGAGCCUGAUGCAGCAACCCCGCGUGCGGGAAGACCGCCUUCGGGUUGUAAACCGCUUUCGGCUGUGACGAAGCGUGAGUGACGGUAAUGGGUAAAGAAGCACCGGCUAACUACGUG
Molecule: ribosomal RNA, 468 nt
Filed under: uncultured bacterium
Lineage: Bacteria
Description: partial 16S ribosomal RNA
Rfam family: Bacterial small subunit ribosomal RNA
Source: RNAcentral